UACAGAGGGGGCAAGCGUUGUUCGGAAUUACUGGGCGUAAAGGGCGCGUAGGCGGCCUGUUAAGUCGAACGUGAAAUCCCCAGGCUCAACCUGGGAACUGCGUCCGAUACUGGCAGGCUUGAAUCCGGGAGAGGGAUGCGGAAUUCCAGGUGUAGCGGUGAAAUGCGUAGAUAUCAGAAGGAACGCCGGUGGCGAAAGCGGCUCUCUGGUUCGUUUCUGACGCUGAGGCGCGAAAGCUUGGGUAGCAAACGGG
RNAcentral lists this ribosomal RNA (253 nucleotides) under uncultured bacterium. Its description in RNAcentral is "partial 16S ribosomal RNA". It matches the Rfam family "Bacterial small subunit ribosomal RNA", at positions 524 to 776 of the family's 1533-position model. The record is from RNAcentral.